RNAcentral lists this ribosomal RNA (305 nucleotides) under uncultured bacterium. Its description in RNAcentral is "bacterial SSU rRNA". It matches the Rfam family "Bacterial small subunit ribosomal RNA", at positions 333 to 652 of the family's 1533-position model. The record is from RNAcentral.
GUAUCCCUACGGGGCGCAGCAGUGGGGAAUAUUGCGCAAUGGGCGAAAGCCUGACGCAGCGACGCCGCGUGAGGGAUGAAGGCUUUCGGGUUGUAAACUUCUUUUGUCAGGGACGAAGCAAGUGACGGUACCUGACGAAUAAGCCACGGCUAACUACGUGCCAGCAGCCGCGGUAAUACGUAGGUGGCAAGCGUUAUCCGGAUUUAUUGGGUGUAAAGGGCGUGUAGGCGGGAAUGCAAGUCAGAUGUGAAAACUAUGGGCUCAACCCAUAGCCUGCAUUUGAAACUGUAUUUCUUGAGUGCUGG